Equus caballus (horse) is the source of this 2447-nucleotide long non-coding RNA. NCBI's taxonomy places the organism in Eukaryota, Metazoa, Chordata, Mammalia, Perissodactyla, Equidae. The record is from Ensembl.
AGAAAACUGAAACUAAGAAGGAAAUCAAAAGCAAAAAGCCAGAAACUACUUCUUUAGCCCUUUUCUUUAUGAUCUCAGGACUUCAGGGACCUUGAAAGAUUGAUUUCCUCUCACUCAAGUUUCUUAUAAAAUUAGCUUUGGCUCAUACAUCUGUAACACAGUAGUUAAUUUUACAAGAUAAGCAGUACAGGGGAAAUGUAUCUGAGGGGAAAAUCGAGUGCUGGAAGCUCGAGAGACACUUAUAAGGUCACAAAACAAAGCCGGUAAGUAAAGUGGUUCUACGACAGAUCUGCAAAUAGCAAAGGGUCAGCUUCGGUUAAUUUCAGUGUAUCUUUCAUCGCCUUGCACUUUCCUUCUCAGCCAGCAUUAAACAGAAGUGGGCCUUACUCAAACCUGCUCCAUGGCAGGCUUUUGAAUUGCUCGGCCUAAGAGCUAUCAUGAUUUAAGUUGUGAAAUUUGAACUUUGUAUUUCAGCAUCCACCUGCCUGUAAUGGUUCUGGAGACUGUACCAGCCACGGCAAUGGAAGUAUUAACCAGUUCUUCAUCUUCACAGCUACUUAUGCCAUUCCUGGAGACUAAAUGUGCUUUCAGAUAAGGACCAUUGGCUAUCUGAGCUGGAAGGAAAAUUACAGUCUUUUUAAUUCAAUCCUUUCACUUUUUAGAAGGAGUCCCUGAGGCUCAGAAAGGCCCCUAAAGAUCCAGCAGUUUCUUUGGGAGCAGAGCUGGAAUUAGAACCAAGUGUCUCGACUAAUCUAGAUUCCUAAUCUGGAGCUCCUUAUACUCAGAGUGACUAAAAACCAGAAUGAUUUCUCACUUAUACACUCAGAGAAAGUCUCUGUGAAUUAAUUAAUCUUUUUAUUGGGAUAUGUUAAUCUUUUAAAACAUGCAGAAGACUCAUUUUACUUCAAUAUAUGUCAGCUUUGGGAAAAUGUUCACAAAUAAACUUCCCUAAGAAGCAACUUGGAGAUGUCUUCUGAACAGUUUGAUGAGACUGGCCUGUAAAACUGCUCAGUGGUCCACAGAUUACGAAUUUUGAAGUGACUAUUAACUAGAACUAUUAAAUUUCCACCUGAUUAUCAAAAUGCUGUGUUAAUCAACUUGCUUCAACAAAAUUCCCUUCAAGUCAGUCAAAUAAGUGGGGUUUCUCUCUGUUGUGCUCCAAGUGAUUGCAGUAGUUCAACAGGCAAGUUCUGAGGGUACAGCAUUCCUAUGGAACACACAAGGCUACUUAUCCCCAUCUCCCUUUGAUGCUUUUCCCUAAAACAUGGACUUAGCAUUUCCCAAGUGUGUCCCUUCGAAUGUUCACUUGGAUUUGAAAAGAUGAUUCCAUGGUCAGAACAAAAGGCCCUGAGCUUCCGAAGUGUACUCUGCUCCUGUCUCCCCACAGCCAGUGAAGCAUGACUGCUCCUUCAAGCCACAAACUGUCAAGAUUUAGAUUCAACAUGUCAAGAUUCUCAUUCAACAAUGAGAUUUGUGUGGGUUUUUUUUUAACGCUUCCCAGAAUCUAGGUAUUAGCUCUGAAUCUGAUAUAUUAAAUUCCAGAAGAAAUGUUGUCCCUUUCUUUUCUAUUAAUUCUUUUGAUCUGUUGUAUUAUUGAAAAUUUUGAACAUAGACAGACGUAGCAGAUUCAUAUGAUUUCUCAAGUACUCAUCAAACAAUCUUAAUAAGUAUCAAGUCAGAGCCUAUCUUCUUUCAUUUAUAUCCCCACCCACUCUCUCCACCCAGGAUUAACUUGAAGCAAAUUCCAGACACCCUACCAUUUUAUCUGUAAAUGUUUUCCUGUGUAUCUCUAAAAGAUAGAGAUGCUUUUAAAAAAAUAAUAUUAACCAAAAUACCAUUCUAAUGCCUAAAAAAGCCUAACGAUUCUUUAAUGUCUUUAAAUAUCCUGUCAUCCAAACAAGGUCUGUACAAUGCGAACAGUUGGUAUAUCUUCUAAGUCUCUGAAUCUUUAACUUCUCCUCCACCUCUCUUUUUAUCCCUCAUAACUUUUUGUAGAGGAAAUCAAGUCUUCUGUCCUGUAAAAGUUUCCAGAGCCUGGACUUUGUUCCUUGCAUCCCUGUGGUGUAAUUUAACAUGUUCUUCUAUCCCCUUUAUUUCCUAUAAAUGGGUAGUUGGACCUAGAGGCUUAAGCAGAUUCAGGUUUGACUUUUUUUCUUGUAAGGCAUUUCUAUACAUUGUGUUGUGUUCUUCUAUUUGGUUGAAGUACCAGAUAAUGAUGUGAUCAGUCAUUGCUAAUCAUUGCCUAGAUCCAUUAAUUCAAUUUAGGCUGCAAAACUGUGCCAUUCUAAUUCUAUCAUUUUCUUCACGUAUUAGCUGGAAUACAUCUUUAAAAGAAGACACUGCCUCUCAUUAACUAUUCAGUUGUCCAGAGGUAAAGUUAAUACGUUAAAGGCAGAAUAAAUGUCUGAGUUUUUUUCUCUUUAUUACCAGUUUUCAAAAGAAUGUGC